RNAcentral lists this transfer RNA (56 nucleotides) under Franciscoloa roseicapillae. RNAcentral describes it as "tRNA-Tyr". Lineage: Eukaryota; Metazoa; Arthropoda; Insecta; Psocodea; Menoponidae. The record is from RNAcentral.
AAUAAGGUGGCUGAUAAAAGCAGAAAACUGUAAAUUUUCUUAUGAGUAUUUACUCC